This 253-nucleotide ribosomal RNA is filed under the name uncultured bacterium. RNAcentral's name for it is "partial 16S ribosomal RNA". It matches the Rfam family "Bacterial small subunit ribosomal RNA", at positions 524 to 776 of the family's 1533-position model. The record is from RNAcentral.
UACGGAGUGUGCAAGCGUUACUCGGAAUCACUGGGCAUAAAGGGCGUGUAGGCGGGCUUUCAAGUCGGUUGUGAAAUCCCUCAGCUCAACUGAGGAACUGCAUCCGAUACUGUUUGUCUUGAGGACGAGAGGGGAGAGUGGAACUUCUGGUGUAGCGGUGAAAUGCGCAGAUAUCAGGAAGAACACCCGUGGCGAAGGCGGCUCUCUGGGACGGUACUGACGCUGAGACGCGAAAGCGUGGGGAGCGAACAGG